RNAcentral lists this ribosomal RNA (543 nucleotides) under Didymella glomerata. RNAcentral describes it as "eukaryotic LSU rRNA". The stretch from base 182 to 335 matches the Rfam family "5.8S ribosomal RNA". The record is from RNAcentral. Lineage: Eukaryota; Fungi; Ascomycota; Dothideomycetes; Pleosporales; Didymellaceae.
CGUAACAAGGUUUCCGUAGGUGAACCUGCGGAAGGAUCAUUACCUAGAGUUGUAGGCUUUGCCUGCUAUCUCUUACCCAUGUCUUUUGAGUACCUUCGUUUCCUCGGCGGGUCCGCCCGCCGAUUGGACAAUUUAAACCAUUUGCAGUUGCAAUCAGCGUCUGAAAAAACUUAAUAGUUACAACUUUCAACAACGGAUCUCUUGGUUCUGGCAUCGAUGAAGAACGCAGCGAAAUGCGAUAAGUAGUGUGAAUUGCAGAAUUCAGUGAAUCAUCGAAUCUUUGAACGCACAUUGCGCCCCUUGGUAUUCCAUGGGGCAUGCCUGUUCGAGCGUCAUUUGUACCUUCAAGCUCUGCUUGGUGUUGGGUGUUUGUCUCGCCUCUGCGCGUAGACUCGCCUCAAAACAAUUGGCAGCCGGCGUAUUGAUUUCGGAGCGCAGUACAUCUCGCGCUUUGCACUCAUAACGACGACGUCCAAAAGUACAUUUUUACACUCUUGACCUCGGAUCAGGUAGGGAUACCCGCUGAACUUAAGCAUAUCAAUA